UGUUCCUACUUUGCAAUUUAUUGUUC
RNAcentral lists this non-coding RNA (26 nucleotides) under Mus musculus (house mouse). Lineage: Eukaryota; Metazoa; Chordata; Mammalia; Rodentia; Muridae. The record is from RNAcentral.